ACAAGGAUCUGGUUUGAAUACAAAUGAUAGACUGUCAUGUAUAGUCAGAGAAAACAUGAAAGAAAACAAAAAAAUUACUGAAUAUAUUCACUUUUUUGUCUCUGCAUUUUACAUCAUAUUUGGUUGUAACAGGAUCCUGUACAUGCACUUUUCUUGGCGUCUAGUUGUGGCCAAAUGGGAUGUUCAGAGAAAUAUGCCGUUCUCGUUCUUCUUCCCACAGAAAACCAACUUGUCAAACUGAAACAAAUGGACCAAAACACCUAUUUUUUGCACCUGCAGGUAUAGCUGAACUUCAGACAUCAAAAAUCACUUGGAGACGGCAGAGGCAAGCGCUCGAUGGCUGGAGCACGGUCGUGGCCGAGGUCGUUGGAGAGGGUAUAGCUGAAUUUCCUCGAUGACAGUAAGUGAACUUCGUGCCUUCUUCUGCAAAACCAAAAUCUGAAUACAUAUAUAAGAGAAAUACAUAUAUGAACUAGCAUGAACACAAAAUUGUGACAGGGCAUAUUUUUCUGAACUUUUUAUGCAAAAACUCUCUGUAUUUUCACCCCUUGUUUUCAGAACAAAAACUUGGUUGAUCGAACCAAUGGAUCCACAUGUCAGGGAGAUCUUUGCGGAUGGCGACUGCAUCGUCGGGCAUCGGAAUCAUCCUCGAGAAUAGCGUUCGCACUGUGCAGGGGGUUGGGGACGACGACAUCGGCAGGACACGAGAGCUUGAAGAACAAGAACAGCGCCGCGAUGGUGGUCCGAGGGUCACGCACGAAUGAACAAGAGGAACUGGGCGACGAUGAGCAGGAGGAUCCAGGGGAGUUCCCCGAAGGUAGAGAAGUAGAAGAGGCGGGCCGAGGGCGGGAGGAGACUCACCGGAGGGAGAAGUGGGGGACGGGAAGAGCAGCGGCGGCCGGUGGUGGAGGCGUGAGGCGGCCGCAAGAUCCGGUGGCGCACGUGGGGGUUCCGGGGAGGGCGCAUGGCUGCAGGUGGAUCCGGUUAGGGGGCGCGCCGACGGGGGUNNN
RNAcentral lists this long non-coding RNA (1010 nucleotides) under Triticum aestivum (bread wheat). RNAcentral's name for it is "long non-coding RNA (TAES_LNC001048)". Lineage: Eukaryota; Viridiplantae; Streptophyta; Magnoliopsida; Poales; Poaceae. The record is from RNAcentral.